GACGAACGCUGGCGGCGUGCCUAAUACAUGCAAGUAGAACGCUGAAGCUUGGUGCUUGCACCGAGCGGAUGAGUUGCGAACGGGUGAGUAACGCGUAGGUAACCUGCCUGGUAGCGGGGGAUAACUAUUGGAAACGAUAGCUAAUACCGCAUAAUAGUAGAUGUUUCAUGACAUUUGCUUAAAAGGUGCAAUUGCAUCACUACCAGAUGGACCUGCGUUGUAUUAGCUAGUUGGUGAGGUAACGGCUCACCAAGGCAACGAUACAUAGCCGACCUGAGAGGGUGAUCGGCCACACUGGGACUGAGACACGGCCCAGACUCCUACGGGAGGCAGCAGUAGGGAAUCUUCGGCAAUGGACGGAAGUCUGACCGAGCAACGCCGCGUGAGUGAAGAAGGUUUUCGGAUCGUAAAGCUCUGUUGUAAGAGAAGAACGAGUGUGAGAGUGGAAAGUUCACACUGUGACGGUAUCUUACCAGAAAGGGACGGCUAACUACGUG
RNAcentral lists this ribosomal RNA (497 nucleotides) under uncultured bacterium. RNAcentral's name for it is "partial 16S ribosomal RNA". It matches the Rfam family "Bacterial small subunit ribosomal RNA", at positions 28 to 507 of the family's 1533-position model. The record is from RNAcentral.